UCUCAGAUGAGGUAGGAAU
RNAcentral lists this ribosomal RNA (19 nucleotides) under Hillenburgia nasturtii. RNAcentral's name for it is "Spongospora subterranea f. sp. nasturtii partial 28S ribosomal RNA". The record is from RNAcentral. Lineage: Eukaryota; Endomyxa; Phytomyxea; Plasmodiophorida; Plasmodiophoridae.